AAAGCUUCAAAGAUUUUAGUUGCAGGUACUCAUGCUGACAAUUUGGGCUACCAAUGUGGAGGGUGGACAAUUGCAUGGCAAGGAUUUAGUGGCAACAACUAUACAAGGGGAACAACCAUCCUUGCUGCCAUAAGAUCUAUAGUUGAUCCUAGUACAGAAGUUUUCUUCCAAGAGAAUCCUGAUAGCAAGUUUGUCAAGUCCAAUAACUUUGCUUAUGCUGUUGUUAUUGUUGGUGAGCCUCCUUAUGCUGAAACAGCAGGAGAUAGCAUGAACCUCAC
RNAcentral lists this unclassified non-coding RNA (278 nucleotides) under Hevea brasiliensis (rubber tree). The record is from RNAcentral. Lineage: Eukaryota; Viridiplantae; Streptophyta; Magnoliopsida; Malpighiales; Euphorbiaceae.